UCUGGCGGCUUUAGCGCGGUGGUCCCACCUGACCCCAUGCCGAACUCAGAAGUGAAACGCCGUAGCGCCGAUGGUAGUAAAGACGGACGCGGGGUGGAGCAGCCUGGUAGCUCGUCGGGC
Molecule: ribosomal RNA, 120 nt
Filed under: Enterobacter hormaechei subsp. xiangfangensis
Lineage: Bacteria; Pseudomonadati; Pseudomonadota; Gammaproteobacteria; Enterobacterales; Enterobacteriaceae
Source: RNAcentral